UCUCUCCCCUUUCUCUCUCUCUCUCUCUCUCCCCUUUCGCUCUCUCUCUCCCCUUUCGCUCUCUCUCUCUUCCACUCCCCUUUCGCUCUCUCUUUCUCUUUCUCUCUCUUCCACUCCCCUUUCUCUCUCCCUCUCUCUGUCUCUUUCUCUCUCUUCCACUCCCCUUUCUCUUUCUCUCUCUUCCACUCCCCUUUCUCUCUCUCUCUUUCUCUCUUCCACUCCCCUUUCUCUCUCCCUCUCCCACUCUCUCUCUUCCACUCCCCUUUCUCUCUCCCUCUCUCCCACUCCCCUUUCUCUCUCCCUCUCUCCCACUCCCCUUUCUCUCUCCCUGUCUCUCUCUGUCUCUCCCACUCCCCUUUCUCUCUCCCUGUCUCUCUCUGUCUCUCUUUUCCUCUCUCUGAGGCUGUGUGCUAAGUGAAGUCCUCCCCAGUCAGGGCCUUCUAUCCUUGGGGAAGCAGGCAGAGAAGAGAGGUAGAGGGUUGGGUUACACUCUGCAGGGAUGGGUGGUGGGGGGGUAGAGAUCGAUAGGGGAUAAAGACUGAGAGACAGAGACAUAUCAUCAUUACCUUUUCUUUAGGACACUCCGGGAGGAGUCAGGAGGGAGGGAGGGAGACUGGUGGCUGGGGCUGCCAAACAAAGAAGCAUCAUCCCCCCCCCCCUCUCUGACACUAGCUCUGAGUGCAGCCAGCCAGCUAGCCAGCCACAGCCAGGGAGGUAGAGGGAGGGAGGCAGAGAGAGCCAUCGGCCAUGCAGACAGGCUAGAGAGAGGAUCCUUGGAUACAUUACUCACUACAGAGGAAGGAGGAAAAGAGGAAAAGGCUAUAUGAGAAAAGGAACAAGCGAUCUGAAUGCCAUGGGGAGAUGGGAGAAAAGAGAAGGGUUCAGUCUCAUAGUAUGAACAGGUAUGCUACAGAACAUGUGGUUGAUGCCCUAGCCCAGAGUAACACUGUAUACUGUAGUAUGAACAGGUAUGCUACAGGACAUGUGGCUGAUGCCCUAGCCCAGAGUAACACUGUAUACUGUAGUAUGAACAGGUAUGCUACAGGACAUGUGGCUGAUGCCCUAGCCCAGAGUAACACUGUAUACUGUAGUAUGAAC
RNAcentral lists this long non-coding RNA (1098 nucleotides) under Salmo salar (Atlantic salmon). RNAcentral describes it as "lncRNA (ENSSSAG00000101224.1)". Lineage: Eukaryota; Metazoa; Chordata; Actinopteri; Salmoniformes; Salmonidae. The record is from RNAcentral.